UACGGGGGGGGCAAGCGUUGUUCGGAAUUACUGGGCGUAAAGCGCACGUAGGCGGCUUUGUAAGUUAGAGGUGAAAGCCCAGGGCUUAACCCUGGAAUUGCCUUUAAGACUGCAUCGCUAGAAUCGUGGAGAGGUGAGUGGAAUUCCGAGUGUAGAGGUGAAAUUCGUAGAUAUUCGGAAGAACACCAGUGGCGAAGGCGACUCACUGGACACAUAUUGACGCUGAGGUGCGAAAGCGUGGGGAGCAAACAGG
This 253-nucleotide ribosomal RNA is filed under the name uncultured bacterium. Its description in RNAcentral is "partial 16S ribosomal RNA". It matches the Rfam family "Bacterial small subunit ribosomal RNA", at positions 524 to 776 of the family's 1533-position model. The record is from RNAcentral.